AGCGAACGCUGGCGGCAGGCCUAACACAUGCAAGUCGAACGAACCCUUCGGGGUUAGUGGCAGACGGGUGAGUAACACGUGGGAACGUGCCUUUUGGUUCGGAACAACUCAGGGAAACUUGAGCUAAUACCGGAUGUGCCCCUUCGGGGGAAAGGAUUUAUCGCCAUUAGAGCGGCCCGCGUCUGAUUAGCUAGUUGGUGAGGUAAAGGCUCACCAAGGCUUCGAUCAGUAGCUGGUCUGAGAGGAUGAUCAGCCACACUGGGACUGAGACACGGCCCAGACUCCUACGGGAGGCAGCGACGUGGGGAAUCUUGGACAAUGGGCGCAAGCCUGAUCCA
This 338-nucleotide ribosomal RNA is filed under the name uncultured bacterium. RNAcentral's name for it is "bacterial SSU rRNA". It matches the Rfam family "Bacterial small subunit ribosomal RNA", at positions 29 to 390 of the family's 1533-position model. The record is from RNAcentral.